Callithrix jacchus (white-tufted-ear marmoset) is the source of this 107-nucleotide small nuclear RNA. Lineage: Eukaryota; Metazoa; Chordata; Mammalia; Primates; Cebidae. The record is from Ensembl.
GUGCUCGCUUUGGCAGCCCAUAUACUAAAAUUGGGACAAUAUAGAGAAGGAUGGCAUGGCCUCUGUGCAAGGAUGACAAGCAAAUUCAUGAAGCAUUCCAUAUAAAA